Molecule: ribosomal RNA, 440 nt
Filed under: uncultured bacterium
Lineage: Bacteria
Description: partial 16S ribosomal RNA
Rfam family: Bacterial small subunit ribosomal RNA
Source: RNAcentral
CCUACGGGAGGCAGCAGUGGGGAAUAUUGCACAAUGGGGGAAACCCUGAUGCAGCGACGCCGCGUGAGUGAAGAAGUACUUCGUUAUGUAAAGCUCUAUCAGCAGGGAAGAAAAUGACGGUACCUGAGUAAGAAGGCCCGGCUAACUACGUACCAGGAGCCGCGGGAAUACGUAGGGGGCAAGCGUUAUCCGGAUUUAAGGGGUGUAAAGGGAGCGUAGACGGCAGUGCAAGGCUGGAGGGAAAGGCGGGGGCUCAACCCCCGGACUGCUCUGGAAACUGUACGGCUGGAGUGCAGGAGAGGUAAGUGGAAUGCGUGGUGUAGCGGUGAAAUGCGUAGAGAUACGGAGGAACACCAGUGGCGAAGGCGGCCUGCUGGACAUUAACUGACGCUGAGGCGCGAAAGCGUGGGGAGCGAACAGGAUUAGAUACCCGUGUAGUC